GAUGAAGAACGCAGCGAAAUGCGAUAAGUAAUGUGAAUUGCAGAAUUCAGUGAAUCAUCGAAUCUUUGAACGCACAUUGCGCCCGCCAGUAUUCUGGCGAGCAUGCCUGUUCGAGCGUCAUUUCAACCAUCAAGCCCCAGGCUUGUGUUGGAGCCCUGCGGCUGCCGCAGCCUCCCAAAACCAGUGGCGGGCUCGCUAUCACACCGAGUGCAGUAGUUUACUCUUCGCUCAGGGCGUGUGGCGGGUGCUAGCCGUGAAACCCCCAACUUCUCAAGAUUGACCUCGGAUCAGGUAGGAAUACCCGCUGAACUUAAGCAUAUCAAUAAGCGGAGGA
RNAcentral lists this unclassified non-coding RNA (334 nucleotides) under soil metagenome. Its description in RNAcentral is "partial contains 5.8S ribosomal RNA, internal transcribed spacer 2, and large subunit ribosomal RNA". The stretch from base 1 to 120 matches the Rfam family "5.8S ribosomal RNA", at positions 35 to 154 of the family's 154-position model. The record is from RNAcentral.